CGCGAGAGACGGACUGGCGGCGUGCCUAACACAUAGCAAGUCGAGCGAGUGGAGUCUUCGGAACAAGCUAGCGGCGAACGGGUGAGUAACACGUAGGGCAACCUACCUCAUAGAGGGAUAAGCCUUCCGAAAGGAGAUUAAUACCGCAUAAGAUUGUAGCUUCGCAUGAAGUAGCAAUUAAAGGAGUAAUCCGCUAUGAGAUGGGCCCGCGGCGCAUUAGCUAGUUGGUGAGGUAACGGGCGUCACCCAAGGCGACGAUGCGUAGCCGACCUGAGAGGGUGAUCGGCCACAUUGGGACUGAGACACGGCCCCAGACUCCUACGGGAGGCAGCAGUGGGGAAUAUUGCACAAUGGGGGAAACCCUGAUGCAGCAACGCCGCGUGAGUGAUGACGGCCUUCGGGUUGUAAAGCUCUGUCUUCAGGGACGAUAAUGACGGUACCUGAGGAGGAAGCCACGGCUAACUACGUG
RNAcentral lists this ribosomal RNA (469 nucleotides) under uncultured Clostridiaceae bacterium. Its description in RNAcentral is "bacterial SSU rRNA". It matches the Rfam family "Bacterial small subunit ribosomal RNA", at positions 36 to 507 of the family's 1533-position model. The record is from RNAcentral. Lineage: Bacteria; Bacillati; Bacillota; Clostridia; Eubacteriales; Clostridiaceae.